This 851-nucleotide long non-coding RNA is filed under the name Gallus gallus (chicken). RNAcentral's name for it is "long non-coding RNA NONGGAT006480". Lineage: Eukaryota; Metazoa; Chordata; Aves; Galliformes; Phasianidae. The record is from RNAcentral.
UAUAUUCUGAACCAGGAAAGGCAAAUGUAGGGAUACUGUAACUAUCCACACUUUUAGGGGUGUUUUCUCAUCUUAAUACACGGGUAUCUGGAGGCAUAACUACUUCUGCAUUGAGGUAAAACUACUCCCUUGAACGUGUGACCAAGGCAGGAAAGAAUGCAGUUCUGUAUUUUAUAUUCUUAAACUGAAUAACUUCUUACCACAUCUUUGAACAAUGCUAUGUUCGCUCGUCCUGCACCGCUUUUCAUUCCGUACAUUUUCAAUGCUCUCUUCUAACGGAUCAGCACACAUCUGAGGUCUGGGAUGUCAGAAUGACCACCCAGCUACUGUCGUGUCCCUUUUGACACCUGUCACGGUACGACACAUCAGAAGAUGCUGCAGAGAAACAGUCAAUACCACCGGACGGAAAAAGGCCAACUUAGGAAGCAGAACAAGUGAAACUUUACAAGUAAGCAACUAUAACACAUUUGUAUGCGAACGAGGCCAAGAUCUCAUAGGGCUGUUUGCAAAACCAGAUCUCAGCCGCAUCAGAAGUUUUACCACUGACUAAAUCAGCACUAAUAAAAAGGGGCACAACUACCAAGCGUGUGCCAGACAAACAUAGUGCUUUUUGUACUACUUAUUCCUGUAGGGGGAAGGGAGGAAGUUAAAAAAACUGUAACAUCUUUUAAUAUAUAACAUACUCUACUGGUAAAACUCAUAUCACAACUCAGUGCAGAGCACGGAAUACACUUAAGAUCUCUUUGCAAAGUUGUCUUUGUUGCAUUGUUAUUAAGAGCACAUUAAAAUGCGGACCAUUAUUUUUACAUGAUAAUAUGCUUUUUACAUGAAAGUAUGUUUUCAAAUGUCAC